Molecule: small RNA, 438 nt
Filed under: Saccharomyces cerevisiae (brewer's yeast)
Lineage: Eukaryota; Fungi; Ascomycota; Saccharomycetes; Saccharomycetales; Saccharomycetaceae
Description: YPL276W
Source: RNAcentral
AUGUCGAAGGGAAAGGUUUUGCUGGUUCUUUACGAAGGUGGUAAGCAUGCUGAAGAGCAGGAAAAGUUAUUGGGGUGUAUUGAAAAUGAACUUGGUAUCAGAAAUUUCAUUGAAGAACAGGGAUACGAGUUGGUUACUACCAUUGACAAGGACCCUGAGCCAACCUCAACGGUAGACAGGGAGUUGAAAGACGCUGAAAUUGUCAUUACUACGCCCUUUUUCCCCGCCUACAUCUCGAGAAACAGGAUUGCAGAAGCUCCUAACCUGAAGCUCUGUGUAACCGCUGGCGUCGGUUCAGACCAUGUCGAUUUAGAAGCUGCAAAUGAACGGAAAAUCACGGUCACCGAAGUUACUGGUUCUAACGUCGUUUCUGUCGCAGAGCACGUUAUGGCCACAAUUUUGGUUUUGAUAAGAAACUAUAAUGGUGGUCACCAACAA